This 237-nucleotide ribosomal RNA is filed under the name uncultured eukaryote. RNAcentral's name for it is "partial 18S ribosomal RNA". It matches the Rfam family "Eukaryotic small subunit ribosomal RNA", at positions 629 to 868 of the family's 1831-position model. The record is from RNAcentral.
CGUAGUUGAAUUUCUGGUCGUGGCGAUCGGUCCGCCCCUCACGGGGUGUGCACCUGGUCUCUACGUCCAUCCUCGGGGAGGGCACGCCUGGCAUUCAGUUGUCGGGUGUGGGAUCCUCGUCAUUUACUGUGAGCAAAAUAGAGUGUUCAAAGCAGGCUUAGGCCGUUGAAUACAUUAGCAUGGAAUAAUAAGAUAGGACCUUGGUCUAUUUUGUUGGUUUGCAUUCCAAGGUAAUGA